ACGGAGGGUGCAAGCGUUAUCCGGAUUCACUGGGUUUAAAGGGUGCGUAGUCGGCCUGUUAAGUCAGAGGUGAAAACUUGCAGCUCAACUGUAAGCUUGCCUUUGAUACUGAUGGGCUUGAAUAAACUAGAGGUAGGCGGAAUGUGACAAGUAGCGGUGAAAUGCAUAGAUAUGUCACAGAACACCAAUUGCGAAGGCAGCUUACUAUGGUUUUAUUGACGCUGAGGCACGAAAGCGUGGGGAUCAAACAGGA
RNAcentral lists this ribosomal RNA (253 nucleotides) under uncultured prokaryote. RNAcentral describes it as "partial 16S ribosomal RNA". It matches the Rfam family "Bacterial small subunit ribosomal RNA", at positions 525 to 777 of the family's 1533-position model. The record is from RNAcentral.